AUACGUAGGUCCCGAGCGUUGUCCGGAUUUAUUGGGCGUAAAGCGAGCGCAGGCGGUUUAAUAAGUCUGAAGUUAAAGGCAGUGGCUUAACCAUUGUUCGCUUUGGAAACUGUUAGACUUGAGUGCAGAAGGGGAGAGUGGAAUUCCAUGUGGAGCGGGGAAAUGCGUAGAUAUAUGGAGGAACACCGGUGGCGAAAGCGGCUCUCUGGUCUGUAACUGACGCUGAGGCUCGAAAGCGUGGGGAGCAAACAGGAUUAGAUACCCUGGUAGUCCACGCCGUAAACGAUGAGUGCUAGGUGUUAGGCCCUUUCCGGGGCUUAGUGCCGCAGCUAACGCAUUAAGCACUCCGCCUGGGGAGUACGACCGCAAGGUUGAAACUCAAAGGAAUUGACGGGG
Molecule: ribosomal RNA, 396 nt
Filed under: uncultured bacterium
Lineage: Bacteria
Description: partial 16S ribosomal RNA
Rfam family: Bacterial small subunit ribosomal RNA
Source: RNAcentral